This is a long non-coding RNA of Neofelis nebulosa (Clouded leopard), 2528 nucleotides long. RefSeq lists it as uncharacterized. The record is from RefSeq and is a predicted model, not a curated record. NCBI's taxonomy places the organism in Eukaryota, Metazoa, Chordata, Mammalia, Carnivora, Felidae. The transcript has 2 exons.
CCAGGGAGUGUGUGGGAUUCACAGGCCCCAGUAGUGAGGCAGCCAGGAAGGCCCCUCCGAGGACCUGGACAAGGAGAAGGAGCCACUCACCAGAAGAUCUGGGGAGCACCCUUGCAGGCAGAGGGAAGUGCAGGUGCAAAGGCCCUGAGGUGCAAAGGAGGGCAGCGUACCUGCAGAACAGCAAGGAGGCAAGUGUGCAUGUAGGAGGGGGAGAGGAGGAAGGGAUAAGGUCACAGGCGAACCUAAGGAGGUUGGAUUCCAUUCUAGGGUUUUGUGCAGAGAGGCAACAUAAUCGGGCUUGUUUCGAGCAGAGCAGUCUGGCAAGAGGGCAAGCAGGGGCCCUGCUAAACCGAACCCAGCUCAUUCCCAAACGUCGUGCAAAAUAACACCGCGAACAGUGCCAUCCGUCCAUGCUGGGCCAAGGUCUGUCUUCGCCAGAGUUCAUAUAAUAAUAACUGCAUUUGCCAUCCUGAGAACCCAGGCUCUGCCGGCCCUUGUACCAGGCGCUGUUCUAAUCGCUCAAUGGCCACACCCGCCCUGGGGAGGAGGUAGUACUCAGAUCUCCAUUUUAUGAAUCAGCUCCAGACAGGUGGGGAUAUGAAUCACAACUGCCCGGCAGGUGUCCUGGGCACCAGCUCAGGUAGCCCUUUACCUGGGAAGGUUUCAAGCGGGUUGGAAGGGAGCUGACUGGAAGGCAGGACAACUGGGGGUGUGUUCUCCCCAUCAGAGUAAGUGACUGUUUCCUGCCAGGAAAUCUCAAGCGCUGGUGGAAAGAGGUAAAGAGUCAACUUUCUGCCCUCUCCCUGCCCUCAACCAUUCCUCCACCGCAGAGCGACCCCUUGAUGGCUGGAAGACAUCUCGUAUUGCCUCCCUGGGGCAGCUUCAUAAGCACUCUGCACUCUGGAAGAGACGGGUGCCGACGGUGGGAUUUUCACAAGAGGCAGGAUCCCCCCCCCUCUCUGAAACCUGUAACACUCCCGAUGCGCUUUUGUUGCAAGAGGCUGAGGGCAGCUGCUGGCAGAAAAACGUAAAGGCAAAAACAUCACCCGAUGACUGAAACAGCCCGAGAAGGAGCAACGGGGGAGGCCACGGUCCUUUUCGUGGCACCGUGACUGCAGCAGAAGUCCCCAAGGACUGGCGACUGAUGCCCCGCCAUGAGAGGGCAAGUGUGGAAGCCAUUCAAAGGUCUAACUGCUGGCCCUUGCCCUUUAUUUGUGCUGUCAGUAACCAACCAGUUUGGGAGUUGACCCGAAGGGAAACGAGCAUUCCUGGCAGGCAGGAUUUUGUCUCCUGCUUCAUCAGCAACAGGUCACGAACAAACGAACGAAUGAAUGAAUGAAUGAAUGACACUGAUGCACAUACGGUUCAUGUUUAUAUUUAUACACGAUCUGUAUUUUAUCAUUAAAGAUCAAAGAUGCAUUUUAUAGAAAGAAGGGAUUGUAUUUAUUGCCUUCUGUGCUUUCAAUUCUUUCUCUGCAGUAAUAAUGAAUUCCUCACCCGGCAAAUCCUGUCUCUCGCGUGACUUGACCUCAUCUAUUAAAUCAUAAAAGCAUCUCAUCUCACAUCUGGAGGGACGUGACUCUUUGCAAAGCCUUCACUUUUGAGAUGACAUUGAAAUCUGUGAAGUGACUCACCGGUUGGGCGGUGGAGUUUUGGUGACAGCUCCUGUGUCUAAAUGAGCUGCUGUGAAGGUGAUUUCUCCUCAAAUGUCAACCGGGUGUUAAGGGAACAGAAUGUCGAGGUGAUUUCUAAAGGCAUCAGGCCUAACACGAAGCUAAUUAUAUGCUUCUGGUGUACUUUCUAUCUUAUCAUUAACCAUUUCCGAUAGCACACUGACAAGGCGAAACAUACCAUCAGGUUUGCUGGGGAACGUAGCUUCCUAGAAAAGCGGUUGUGAGUCUUUGAAAACUCUGCCUUUGUCAACUCUUGCAUUUUACCGUGCACUUAAAACGACAAAGCCCAUCGUAGGACAUGGCUGGAGCAGUCAAGUUCAGAGAGGCAGAAAGCGGAAUGGUGGGUACCAGGCGCCGGCGGAAGGCGGAUAUGGGAGUUCUGUAAAUGGGGGCAGAGGACCCGUUUUGCGAGAUGGAAGAAUUCUGGUGGGGACGGCUGCAUGGCAGUGUGAACGUUGACGAGCACCAGAACAUGCCAUCUGAGAUUAUUUUGAGCUGAAGGCACUUGAAGAUCAGCAUAGGCCGGGAGAGGCUGUCCCUGAACCCCCCCUUAUGUGCCUAAAUACAGACCUUCCCAAGGGGCCCACUGGUCCAAGAUCCCCCCUCCGGAGGUUCACCAACCGGGGCAGACUGGCACACGGUCACACACUGUCCUACCUCCCAUCUACUCUAUGGUCCUUCCUAAAAACCGUUGAAUGGCCCCCCGAGGGGCCUAUACCCCCCUCUUCUUUCCCUCUUCAGAUGGUGUUUAGGCCUAAAUUCUAAAACCACCUCUGACUUCAUAAUUCAUGUUGUCCUGGGGGAUCUCCCGUGCAUAUGUGUGACCUACAUGUUAAUAAACUGCUGGGGACUUUU